This 282-nucleotide long non-coding RNA is filed under the name Mytilus galloprovincialis (Mediterranean mussel). Lineage: Eukaryota; Metazoa; Mollusca; Bivalvia; Mytilida; Mytilidae. The record is from RNAcentral.
GGCACAACAAAACGAUGGGUGUUUUUACAUCGAACUUUGUAAAAACCCUAUACGAUUCGACCCAGUUGAUAAAGUCACAAACGUAUUCUAUGACGACGCUAAUAGACAGGUGAAUGUACAACUAGAAUGUUGUCUUUGAAGUCCUCACACUCUGUUUUGUCAUAGCUUAGAAAAUGACUAUCUUUGAUAACUUCAUUUCAACAUUUGUCUGCAAGGCCAUAUAUGUCUAGAAAUGUGUACACAUGUGUAUAUAUGUGUCUGGUACCUUGAUUCAGUGUUGUU